Molecule: long non-coding RNA, 1215 nt
Filed under: Homo sapiens (human)
Lineage: Eukaryota; Metazoa; Chordata; Mammalia; Primates; Hominidae
Description: HSALNT0071451
Source: RNAcentral
GGCCCGAGGAUCACGAACCUUACUGGAAAACAGCAGGACUGUUGUCAGCAAGAAUUACAAGUUCAACCAAGUACAUAGUUAUGCAAGCAACCUGAAAGACCAGAGAAGUACAUUCUGCACAUUAUCUUAAAUCACAUAGUUCAAAGGUAGCAUUUAUGCACAGAUGCCUGUUAAUUUAGGAAAGAAAAGGCCUCACUGGGCUCCCUAGUUCUAUCUCAAGCCUGGGGCAGAGAAAAGUAGAAUGGAAGAAAUUACUUCAGUUUAUGCAUUGAGAAACCAGAAUUCUGAAGCGAAAAAUUAGAAGAGAAAGGAAAAAAAGCAGAAGUAAGAGAGUCUCCAUACUGAACAAAGAAAAAAAUAAGCUGAACCCACAUGUCAGAGGGUUGAAACUUUCAAGUUCAUUUCUUUUCUGAAGACUAAGCUGCCCUCUGCUGACAAAGUUUUGCUGUCGCCCAGGAUGGAGUACCAUGGCACUAUCUCGGCUCACCGCAACCUUCGCCUCCCGGGUUCAAGCAAUUCUCCUGCCUCAGCCUCCAGAGUAGCUGGAAUUACAGGUCUGCACCUAGCUAAAAUUUUUUGUAUAUUUAGUAGAGAUGGGGUUUCAUCAUGUUGGCCAGACUGGUCUUGAACUCCCAACCUCAGGUAAUCCGCCCGCCUCGGCCUCCCAAAGUGCUAGGAUUAUAGGCGUGAGCCACGAGUUUUUCUUCUGCAUCAUUUAUUACACAUAUUAGUGCUGAAUAUAUAUAUAUAAAUAUAUAUGAAUAUAUAUAAUAUAAAAAAAUAUAUAUAUAUAUAUAUAUUUUUUUUUUCCUUUCUCUUUCUAGAUGGAGUUUCGCUCUUUUUGCCCAAGCUGGAGUGCAAUGGCGCAAUCUCACCUCACUGCAACCUCCGCCUCCCGAGUUCAAGUGAUUCUUCUCCUGCUUCAGCCUACCGAGUAGCUGGGAUUACAGGCAUGUGCCACCACGCCUGGCUAUCUUGUAUUUUUAGUAGAGACGGGGUUUCUCCAUGUUGGUCAGGCUGGUCUCGAACUCCCAACCUCAGGUAAUCUGCCUGCCUCUGCCUCCCAAAGUGCUGAGAUUACAGGCGUGAGCCACAGCAUCCAGCCAAAUAUAUUUUUGAAGUCUUUUCUUUAGAAUUACAACCAAAGCAAUUGCUCUAGUGUAAUUUUUUCCCUCCUUUGAAAACUUUAUUUGUGGGGAGGGGGAAACAAACAAC